GGCGAUUGGUGAGGGGGAUCUUCCAGUGGAUUCCAAUAACUCUGUUCACACAUGCCUCGUAACAAAAUUUCAGCCAGCUGUCUUGCUAUCGUCAUUCGCAGAUUUUGUGUAGUUCUUGUUUCAACAGCUCUUAGUAAUUCUCUAAAUCUACCAACUCCUCUUGUCAAGUUCCCGUUCUUGAAAUAUAAAACAUGUGCCCUCUGUAGUCCCGUUUCCAAGAAAAAACCAAGUUCCUGUUCAUGUGUAGUAGGCCCUGGCUUAGGGCUUCUGUUUUGAAUAUUAGUAUUAAUUACCCUUUCUAUCUCCUGAAGGUAUAGAAGUGCAAUAUCCCCGGCUUUCUCAUAGCACGUAACAAUUU
RNAcentral lists this long non-coding RNA (358 nucleotides) under Gallus gallus (chicken). Lineage: Eukaryota; Metazoa; Chordata; Aves; Galliformes; Phasianidae. The record is from RNAcentral.